CUAAAGAAAAGAAUCGGCAUUACGAUUUGAAGGGUGCGGGGAGGAAAGUCCAGGCACUAUAGAGUAGCGCACCUCGCGUAAGCGGGGCAAGGGCAACCUAGGGAAAGUGCAACAGAAACAUACCGCCCUGAGCAAAGCGCGAAAGCGCUGAGUCGAAGGGUAAGGGUGAAAUCGUGGGGUAAGAGCCCACGCGAGUCCAUAGUAAUAUGGCUUGGUGAAAACCCUGCGCAGUGCAAGUUGGGUGGGUCCUAAAUAUCAUCAAAGGUCUACUCGGUCUGAUGUCCAAGGAUCUCAACGCGUAGAUAGAUGCUGCCAAAACAAAACCUGGCUUAUCGAUUACUUAGGGCU
This 348-nucleotide RNase P RNA is filed under the name Candidatus Berkelbacteria bacterium RBG_13_40_8. Its description in RNAcentral is "RNase P RNA component class A". It matches the Rfam family "Bacterial RNase P class A". From Rfam's summary of the family: Ribonuclease P (RNase P) is a ubiquitous endoribonuclease, found in archaea, bacteria and eukarya as well as chloroplasts and mitochondria. Its best characterised activity is the generation of mature 5'-ends of tRNAs by cleaving the 5'-leader elements of precursor-tRNAs. Lineage: Bacteria; Candidatus Berkelbacteria. The record is from RNAcentral.